Molecule: unclassified non-coding RNA, 3267 nt
Filed under: Homalodisca vitripennis (glassy-winged sharpshooter)
Lineage: Eukaryota; Metazoa; Arthropoda; Insecta; Hemiptera; Cicadellidae
Description: transmembrane protein 234 homolog, transcript variant X3
Source: RNAcentral
GACGUUAUUCCUGAUAGCCUACUACACUGUUCGUAAACUAAGGAUAAUGGAAAGUGGUUGAGGUUAUGGUGUAAUGACUUAGUUUCAUUUGUUUUUAAACGCACUUUAUUAAUAGCCAGCUAGAUUGAUAGAUGAUUUAGUUCCUCAACUUCCCAAAAAUUUCAAACAAAAAAUAGUAAUGCCAAAGUGAUUAAUCGAGUUUAUAAAUAUGUGACAUCGAGUAUAUAACCUCCUUGAAUGAUAUGGAUGAAAUGAUGUACCUCUUCCUUGUGGGGUUGUUAUGGGGAGUGACUAAUCCAUUGAUAAAGAAGGGGUCUGCUGGAGUCUCUAAAGUUGAAGGAGGCAAUGUCUUUGUCAGAUUCUUCAAGGACAUCAAGUUUUUUGUUACCAACUGGAAGUGCAUGAUCCCAUUUCUGGUCAACCAAAGUGGCUCAGUUUUGUAUUACUUCACCUUGAAAUCUGCAAAUUUAACUUUUGCAGUUCCUAUCACCAACUCUGUAGCAUUCCUAGUGACAGCAAUCACAGGUUGGUGCCUGGGAGAGUCUGCACCCAAACCAAGAACAAUUUUAGGAUCAUCUCUUAUUGUCCUAGGAACAGCUUGCUACAUCUUCGACAAGACUUAAAGGCUGGACACAACAUAUGGAAUCAAUUUCCAAUUAUAUAAUAUUAAUGUACAUUCCUGAUAUGGAGGAAAUCCAAAUCACUCAACAAACACAACAAGGCCAUUAUACUACACUGAAGUUAAAAAUAUAGUUGCUAUAAUUGUAAACUUUAAGCAAUGAAGCUAAUUAAUGAAGGAACUGUCUCCAGACAUUGACUCAUUGAAGGGUGAGUGCAAAUUUCCUCUGGUCAAUACAGUCAACUGCAUGUGUGUAAUUUGUACAAUCCAACGAUAGAGAGGGGUGAUGUGUGUGUUGAUAAGACUGCAUGCAACCACCAUGGUUAUGAUUAUUCUUGUCUCUCUCUCUCUUUUAUUACUCAUGGUGACUCAAGUAUAACCAACAUUUCCCUAUAACCUUUUUAUAAAUAAAAGUAUACAUAAAUUAAAAAAAAACAGGUUUGUGGCAACAUAAUUCUGAAGAACAGGUUAUUUUUAUACAAUUAUUUUUGAAAAUUUGUAUCAUGUGAAAUUCAGGAUUCAAUAUUUUCAAAUAAGACCAGCAGCAUGUAAUUUUAAUUUUGUUUUAUCUUGAUAAAACAACAAUCCCAAAUAACACAAUAAAUUAGGGACAGUUAACAAUCUGUUAUGUAUGAUACAAAUGAGCCAUACUCAAAUGAGCAUACUGUAGGAAGUUUGUCAAAAAGGAACUAAUAAUGUUAGUAAGGUGUAAAAUUUUACAAUUAUGAUAAUUAAAAGUGGUUUUUUAUCAUACAAGAGUUGCUUAUCCAAUAAUAAUGUAACAAGCUUUUUAUAUAUUUACAAUGGCUCUAUACAAAGACUAGGUAAAUGUCAUUCAAUAUUCUGUGGAAUAAGCACAAUGACUCAUUGUUCACUGGGUCAGAGUUAAUUGGUGACACUGUUCAAACAUUUUCUAUAUUCAAGUUAAGAAGUACAAGGGUGAAAUAAGAUGCUAAAUUCUGUGAGGUUUACUUUUGAGUUAUGCCUAAACUCUUUUUAUGUCACUUUCUUAAAGAAAAUACAUUUGGAUCCUUAUUCCUAAGAAGUGCCCUUAAAAUAAAAAAAAUUACAUACGAUUUUUUUUUAACAGCGUUAUUUAUGCCUACCUCCACAUCAAUUUUAAAUUUUUCAAAUGUGCAAGUGGGUUUAAAUAACUAUAUGUUAUCAAUUAUUUAUAUUAACAUGUUAAUAUUGUUUGAAAUAAAUUAUGAUUUAAAUCAAAUAGAGCAUGUUUGUACUAUGUGUACCGGCUCCAUGGAAUCAGGCAUUUUGUGAAAUCAUUUAUUUAUUUUCAAGUUAUCCCAUUGAUACAUUAUAGACAUGUCCUGAAAUAGUGUGUUUGUAGAGUUGUCUAUGGGAAAUCUCUUGCAGAGCCGCAAUCGGAUAUUACACAUAUACACAUGAGGCUACAGCAAAAUCACAAAUUGCUGAUAAUUAUUAGAUCCUCCUUAGAAAAACUGUACUCCUGACCCUUACUCAGGUCAACAGAUAUUGUGAGAUAUACAAGAGCUGAAUAGUUAAAUUGCAAAUAUUUAAAACUCGUUGUUCUGUAGAUACAUAGCAUGUUGUUCAUAAAAAUACCUAUCAUCCAUGAAAUGGCUACGUUCUGUAACUGAGUUGAGAUAAUUUACUUUCACCUGAGAGGAUGUGCAAGUAAUCAAAGAGAGAGUGAGGUACACAUUUAGUUUGAUAAUUUUGCUUACAAAGUGUCACCAGUUUUUAUUUAUUAGUAUGCUCCUAAAUUCCAGAUUCCAAUCUCUAAUUCAUCUUUCCUUACUCAGAGAUGAUCAGAUAAAUUUUUGCAUGGCUCCGUGUUAUGGAAGAGGGUAAUUCAGACAUUAGGAGGGUAGCAAACCGAUUACUAAUGCAUCUUAACCUAAAAUCGUUCUAAAAGCAUAACCUCAGAGUAAAUGGUAUCAGCAAGCUUUUAUGUACUUACUUGGUGCAACUGCCAAAUAUCUAAAAUGAUUGCCCUUUGCAUGUAUUUUAAGAAGGAUUUGAGGAUUCCAAUAACACUCUUAGUAAUAGAAACAUUUAUUUAAGUCUUGUAUUAGUUACAAUACAUUAUUUACAUAAUUCUUUGUUAUGAAUGAGGAAAUGGAUAUUAUUAACAUGAGAUUAAGGAACCCUCGGUUAAUGCGUUAUAGUAGUUAAUGAGGGCAAACUGAAAUGUUAAUGGUCUUACAUUUUGUUUAUAUUUCGGUCAAUGCUCUUGAUUUUGUCAUGUUCAAGUACUGGUUUGAUAUCUUUAUCGAAUUAUUCUUUCAGCUGUUAAAAUACUUGAGAAUUAUAAUGAUUGUAAUGGCGAACAGUUACAACAGUAUCAUAAAUGGAUGUUUUGAUUGAUGGGACUAGUAGUUCAUUAUUUACAAGCAAAACUAAAAAAAGUAUUGUCUUUAAAAUAAAUUAUAAUUAAAUUAUGAUAUUACAACGAUAAGAAACUGAAUAUCUAAUGUGAAACAUCUCAUUUCAGUCCCAACAAAUAGUUAAAAUCCAUUAUUAUAUCAAAAAGUUCAAGGAUUGAUUUUCACAUUAAAUAACACAUUUUGAUCAGAGUGGUAAUAGAAUUCACAGUUUAAUUAUACUAGAAUGUAUAUUUCCUUCACAUUUAAGUACUUUUGAUGCAGGUUGUGUGUUGAAUAAAGAAA